Coturnix japonica (Japanese quail) is the source of this 394-nucleotide long non-coding RNA. RefSeq lists it as uncharacterized. NCBI's taxonomy places the organism in Eukaryota, Metazoa, Chordata, Aves, Galliformes, Phasianidae. The record is from RefSeq and is a predicted model, not a curated record.
GAGGGAUGCCAUCCAGAGGGACCUGGGCAAACUCAGAAAAUAUAGGACAUGAUGUUUCUGUGGCACUGCAGUCUUUUCCAUCAUUGCCAGAUUUUGAGCACUCAGGAGAGAUUGAACUUCAGACUUCAGGAAGCAUUUAACUGGGAUGAGAGAACUAGAAAUGGGAUUCAUAACAGAAUUCCUUCAAAAAAGUGCAUGAUCAAAAUAAGAGGUACAAAUUAGUUCAUGGCUGCUGAAGCUACAAAACAUCAUGCAGAGAGCUGUCUUUGGGAACGUUUUAAUGAGGAGAAGAGGUCAUCAGACUGUGACAUUGCUUUUCAGAAUUCUUCAAGAACAACACAGACUUCCUGUUCCAAAUGUGGUAAAGAAUAAAACAACCUUAGUAGUAAUCGUA